GACGAACGCUGGCGGCGUGCUUAACACAUGCAAGUCGAACGGAAAGGCCUGCUUUCCCUUGUGGAUUGCGGGUACUCGAGUGGCGAACGGGUGAGUAACACGUGAGUGAUCUGCCCCCAACUUGGGUAUAAGCCUGGGAAACGGGUCCAAAUUCCCGUAGGGACGCCGGGGGGUGGCCGUUGUGGGAAAAGGAUUUCCAAGGGGUGGGGGUUGAGCCCGCGGCCUAUCAGCUUGUUGGUGGGGUAAUGGCCUACCAAGGCGGCGACGGGUAGCCGGCCUGAGAGGGUGGACGGCCACAUUGGGACUGAGAUACGGCCCAGACUCCUACGGGAGGCAGCAGUGGGGAAUAUUGCACAAUGGGCGGAAGCCUGAUGCAGCGACGCCGCGUGGGGGAUGACGGCCUCCGGGUUGUAAACUCCUUUCGACCGCGAGGAAGCCACCUGGUUGGAAGGGUGGUGACGGUAGUGGUAGAAGAAGCACCGGCUAACUACGUG
RNAcentral lists this ribosomal RNA (494 nucleotides) under uncultured bacterium. RNAcentral's name for it is "partial 16S ribosomal RNA". It matches the Rfam family "Bacterial small subunit ribosomal RNA", at positions 28 to 507 of the family's 1533-position model. The record is from RNAcentral.